Molecule: long non-coding RNA, 385 nt
Organism: Agrilus planipennis (emerald ash borer)
Lineage: Eukaryota; Metazoa; Arthropoda; Insecta; Coleoptera; Buprestidae
Exons: 3
Source: RefSeq, a predicted model, not a curated record
AUUUGAAAUUCCAUUUCUAUCUCCCUGUCAAACUUCGGGCAUUUGCUACAGUCCGUGAACAUGCUCAGCAUCAUCAGGGAAUGCUACAUCUUGGAUCUGGGCGUCGCUGUUUCUCAUCGUCAGGGAUCAAGGAUACUGCUGGGUCGCGUAUGGUUUCGGUCGAGAUGUUAUGAGUGCUUCCGGAGUAUUUUGGGGAGUCCGGCAUUGAACUUCGAAGCUUCUACACUAAAAUCUUGAAGUUUCGAGAGUUUGAGUUUGAAAAAUGACAAAAAACAUCCUCACCAUCAUUAGGGAAUACUGCAUCUGGGAUCAGGGCGUCGCUGUGUCUCAUUCUCAGCAAUCAAGGAUAGUGCUAGACCUCGUCAGGAUGUUUUGAGUGCUUCGG